Molecule: transfer RNA, 86 nt
Filed under: Planctomycetota bacterium
Lineage: Bacteria; Pseudomonadati; Planctomycetota
Description: tRNA-Ser
Source: RNAcentral
GGAGGGUAGCGCCCGAAGGCGGGCAACCGGUCCCGAAAACCGGGCCGUCGUAACAGACGGGGGUUCGAUUCCUCUACCUUCCGCCA